GCUAGCGUAGCUUAACUAAAGCAUAACACUGAAGAUGUUAAGAUGGGCCCUAAGAAGCCCCGCGGGCA
This 68-nucleotide transfer RNA is filed under the name Triacanthodes anomalus (red spikefish). Its description in RNAcentral is "tRNA-Phe". It matches the Rfam family "tRNA". Rfam says of the family: Transfer RNA (tRNA) molecules are approximately 80 nucleotides in length. The record is from RNAcentral. Lineage: Eukaryota; Metazoa; Chordata; Actinopteri; Tetraodontiformes; Triacanthodidae.